This 235-nucleotide ribosomal RNA is filed under the name uncultured Candidatus Saccharibacteria bacterium. RNAcentral's name for it is "partial 16S ribosomal RNA". It matches the Rfam family "Bacterial small subunit ribosomal RNA", at positions 584 to 818 of the family's 1533-position model. The record is from RNAcentral. Lineage: Bacteria; Candidatus Saccharimonadota.
UAUGUCUGUAGUGAAAGCGUGGGGCUCAACCCCAUACACAUUAUGGAAACUGCUUAGCUAGAGGACGAGAGAGGUUAUUGGAAUUCCCUGUGUAGGAGUGAAAUCCGUAGAUAUAGGGAGGAACACCGAUGGCGUAGGCAGAUAACUGGCUCGUUCCUGACACUAAGGCACGAAAGCGUGGGUAGCAAACGGGAUUAGAUACCCCGGUAGUCCACGCCGUAAACGAUGGAUGCUA